RNAcentral lists this ribosomal RNA (81 nucleotides) under Medicago medicaginoides. RNAcentral's name for it is "partial large subunit ribosomal RNA". It matches the Rfam family "Eukaryotic large subunit ribosomal RNA", at positions 1 to 80 of the family's 3401-position model. RNAcentral also lists the same sequence under 3 other names. The record is from RNAcentral. Lineage: Eukaryota; Viridiplantae; Streptophyta; Magnoliopsida; Fabales; Fabaceae.
GAGACCUCAGGUCAGGCGGGACUACCCGCUGAAUUUAAGCAUAUCAAUAAGCGGAGGAAAAGAAACUAACAAGGAUUCCCU